UGAAGUAAGUAAGGGCGUACGGUGAAUGCCUUGGUGCCAACAGGCGAAGAAGGACGCGGCAAGCUGCGAAAAGCCUCGGGAAGCUGCAAGCAAGCGAUGAUCCGGGGAUAUCCGAAUGGGGUAACCUGAUCGAGGCAAUACUCGAUCGUUCAUACCUGAAUACAUAGGGUAUGAAACGCGAAACCCGCUGAAGUGAAACAUCUCAGUAAGCGGAGGAAAAGAAAGAGAAAUCGAUUCCGUAAGUAGUGGCGAGCGAAAGCGGAUGGAGCCCAAACCGAAGGUAUUCCUUCGGGGUUGUAGGACCACGUCAUAUUCGACCAUACUGGAUAGUAGAACAGCCUGGAAAGGCUGGCCGGAGAAGGUGAAAGCCCUGUAGACGAAAUCCAGAGUGGGAAUUAGUGGUAUCCUGAGUAAUACAUCACACGUGGAACGAUGUAUGAACCCGCGCGGACCACCGCGCAAGGCUAAAUACUAGUUGGCGACCGAUAGUGAACAAGUACCGCGAGGGAAAGGUGAAAAGAACCGCUGUGAGCGGAGUGAAAUAGAACCUGAAACCGUAUGUCUACAAAGUGUCAGAGCAGAGCAAUCUGCGAUGGCGUGCCUUUUGUUUAAUGAGUCUGCGAGUCAGUGUUUGUGGCAAGACUAAGGGCUUCCGGCCCGGAGUCGCAGCGAAAGCAAGUCCGAACAGGGCGCAAUAAGUCGCAGGUACUGGACCCGAAGCGGAGGUGACCUACCCUUGGCCAGGUUGAAGCAUGGGUAAAACCAUGUGGAGGACCGAACAGGUGAACGUUGAAAAGUUCUCUGAUGAGCUGAGGGUAGGAGUGAAAGGCUAAUCAAACCCCGUGAUAGCUGGUUCUCUUCGAAAUGCAUUUAGGUGCAGCGUCACGUGCUGAUGCGCGGGGGUAGAGCACUGACAAGGCUAGGGGGCACACCCGCUUACCAAACCUUAUCAAACUCCGAAUACCGUGCAAUGGAACGUGGCAGUGAGACAGUGGGGGAUAAGCUUCAUUGUCGAGAGGGAAACAACCCAGACCAGCAGCUAAGGUGCCUAAAUAACGCUCAGUGGAAAGGAUGUGGGAUUACACAGACAGUGAGGAUGUUGGCUUAGAAGCAGCCACCAUUUAAAAAAUGCGUAAUAGCUUACUCAUCGAGUGAUCCUGCGCCGAAAAUGAUUGGCGAUCAAGCGUUAUACCGAAGCUCUGGACUUUGCCGCAAGGCAGAGUGGUAGAAGAGCGUUGCAUGCGCGUCGAAGGGCGAUGGCGACUGACCCUGGAGCACAUGCAAGUGAGUAUGCAGACAUGAGUAACGUUAAGCCGGGUGAAAUCCCCGGCCGCCGUAAACCCGAGGUUUCCAGGGCAACGUGUUUCGUCCCUGGGUUAGCCGGGACCUAAGCCGAGGCCGAGAGGCGUAGGCGAUGGACAUCAGGUUAAUAAUCCUGAGCUCGCAACCCUUAAACUGGGGGGACGCAUGAGAAAAGAUGACUAGGUUAUUGAAUUCCGAGUUGAGUCUACGGACUCAGCGCAUCAUUGGAUCGAGUGCCAAGAAAAGCCCCAGCGUAUGCUAAGCGACCCGUACCGCAAACCGACACAGGUGGGUGGGUAGAAUAUACCAAGGCGUAAGAGUGAAACCUGGUUAAGGAACUCGGCAAAUUAGCCCCGUAACUUCGGAAGAAGGGGUGCCUGCAGCGAUGCAGGCCGCAGAGAAAUGGCCCAACCGACUGUUUAUCAAAAACACAGCACUCUGCAAAGACGCAAGUCGAAGUAUAGGGUGUGACACGUGACCAAUGCCGAAAGAUUAAGGCAAGGGGUUAGCCGCAAGGCGAAGCUCUAAACCCAAGUCCCGGUGAAUGUCGGCCGUAACUAUAACGGUCCUAAGGUAGCGAAAUUCCUUGUCGGGUAAGUUCCGACCUGCACGAAUCGUGAAACGAGUUGGGCACUGUCUCAACCAGGCGCUCAGUGAAAUUGUAGUGGCGGUGAAGAUGCCGCCUACCCGCAGAAGGACGGAAAGACCCUAUAGACCUUAACUGUAAGCUGUCAUUGUUUCUUCGGUUUUAAUGCUCAGAGUAAGUGGGAGACGCUGAAGACGCCCUUUAGGGGGCGUCCGAGUCAUCAAUGAGACACCACCCUUUGAAACUGGAGGAUCUAACCCUGAGCCGUGAAUCCGGCCAGAGGACCGUGUCAGCCGGUCAGUUUUACUGGGGCGGUAUCCUCCCAAAGAGUAACGGAGGAGCGCGAAGGUGGGCUCAGCCCGGUUGGCAACCGGGUGUCGAGUGCAUGGGCAUAAGCCCGCCUAACUGUGAGACCAACAAGUCGAGCAGAUGCGAAAGCAGGCCCAAGUGAUCCGGCGGUAGAAAGUGGAAUUGCCGUCGCUCAACGGAUAAAAGGUACCUUAGGGAUAACAGGCUGAUCACGCCCAAGAGUUCAUAUCGACGGCGUGGUUUGGCACCUCGAUGUCGGCUCGUCGCAUCCUGGGGCUGGAGCAGGUCCCAAGGGUUCGGCUGUUCGCCGAUUAAAGCGGCACGCGAGCUGGGUUCAGAACGUCGCGAGACAGUUCGGUCCUCUAUCCUCUGUGGGCGUUGGAAAAUUGAGGGGUUCAGACCUUAGUACGAGAGGACCGGGUCUGACGCACCACUGGUGCAUCGGUUGUACUGUCAAGUGCAUGGCCGAGUAGCUAAGUGCGGACGGGAUAAGCGCUGAAAGCAUCUAAGCGCCAAGCCCUUCCCAAGAUGAGUUUUCCCUACAGGUUCGUGGAAGACCACCACGUUGAUAGGUCGCAGGUGUAAGUGCAGCAAUGUAUUGAGCCGAGCGAUACUAAUUACCAAUUGACUUCAUCAU
This 2834-nucleotide ribosomal RNA is filed under the name human gut metagenome. Its description in RNAcentral is "bacterial LSU rRNA". It matches the Rfam family "Bacterial large subunit ribosomal RNA". The record is from RNAcentral.